GGGCAUAGCUCAGUGGUAGAGCGUGUGCUUAGCGUGCACAAGGUCCUGGGUUCAAUCCCCAGUACCUCCA
This 70-nucleotide transfer RNA is filed under the name Camelus bactrianus (Bactrian camel). It matches the Rfam family "tRNA". From Rfam's summary of the family: Transfer RNA (tRNA) molecules are approximately 80 nucleotides in length. Their secondary structure includes four short double-helical elements and three loops (D, anti-codon, and T loops). Further hydrogen bonds mediate the characteristic L-shaped molecular structure. tRNAs have two regions of fundamental functional importance: the anti-codon, which is responsible for specific mRNA codon recognition, and the 3' end, to which the tRNAs corresponding amino acid is attached (by aminoacyl-tRNA synthetases). tRNAs cope with the degeneracy of the genetic code in two manners: having more than one tRNA (with a specific anti-codon) for a particular amino acid; and 'wobble' base-pairing, i.e. permitting non-standard base-pairing at the 3rd anti-codon position. Lineage: Eukaryota; Metazoa; Chordata; Mammalia; Artiodactyla; Camelidae. RNAcentral also lists the same sequence under 2 other names. The record is from Rfam by way of RNAcentral.